RNAcentral lists this microRNA (23 nucleotides) under Acyrthosiphon pisum (pea aphid). RNAcentral describes it as "api-miR-3023". The record is from miRBase by way of RNAcentral. Lineage: Eukaryota; Metazoa; Arthropoda; Insecta; Hemiptera; Aphididae.
AAGCUUGAUUUCAGAAAUGUCGA